RNAcentral lists this long non-coding RNA (265 nucleotides) under Vigna radiata. RNAcentral's name for it is "long non-coding RNA (VRAD_LNC013054)". The record is from RNAcentral. Lineage: Eukaryota; Viridiplantae; Streptophyta; Magnoliopsida; Fabales; Fabaceae.
GGUAGAAGUGUGAUUAAGGGGCAUAUAUAAAAGAAAAGUGGUGAGUUCAACAAGGAAUUGUGGUACUUCAGAUAAUAACUAUGCUUGUAAGGUAUGGGUUCGAAGUGGAUUAAAAUAAUAAUAAUUAAGAAAAAGGAAAAUGUGAGCCUAUAAAUAUGUAACCGAUGUUCUACAAAAACCAAAGUUAAAAGAAACAUAGUUUUUAGUUUGCAAAAAGAGUAGACAUUAAUCCAUCUUUAACUCAAAGAAGAAUUCUAGAAAAGAG